GGACAAUAAAUGAACAAAAGACAAACCCGGAACACAGAAGUACAAACAAUAGACCAUCAACUCUGAAAACUAAAAAGAAAAUAGAAACAUAGAUAACGAAAAACAUCCAGGGGAUACACCAGACAGUGAAGAGAACUUGCUUCUUGCAAGACACUUUCCGUGAAAACAAUUUGAUAUGAAAACAACCUUUUGUUUCAUUUUUUAUUUUUUUUUUUUAUUUUUUACACGAGGCAUUUGCCUCAUUUGCCUCAAUGUAGUUACGGCCCUG
This 268-nucleotide long non-coding RNA is filed under the name Mytilus galloprovincialis (Mediterranean mussel). The record is from RNAcentral. Lineage: Eukaryota; Metazoa; Mollusca; Bivalvia; Mytilida; Mytilidae.